This 227-nucleotide ribosomal RNA is filed under the name uncultured bacterium. RNAcentral's name for it is "partial 16S ribosomal RNA". It matches the Rfam family "Bacterial small subunit ribosomal RNA", at positions 30 to 264 of the family's 1533-position model. The record is from RNAcentral.
UUGAACGCUGGCGGCAUGCCUUACACAUGCAAGUCGAACGGUAGAGGGGCAACCCUUGAGAGUGGCGAACGGGUGAGUAAUGCAUCGGAACGUGCCCAGUCGUGGGGGAUAACGCAGCGAAAGCUGUGCUAAUACCGCAUGUGAUCUGUGGAUGAAAGCAGGGGACCGCAAGGCCUUGUGCGAUUGGAGCGGCCGAUGUCAGAUUAGCUAGUUGGUAGGGUAAAAGC